GGAGUUUGAAGUAACUGAUCCAUAACAUUAUACUCACUCCUCUUGAUGAGCCCUAUCAUCUCAUCACCAUCCUCUUUCAAUAUGCCAGACUGGCCAACCAGGAUAGGAGCUUUAACAAAUUUGUCAACAACAGGGUUAACACCCUUUACAACAGGAACAGAAGGAUUAACACCAUCUUUCUUCACAACGUCUUCGUGGGAUUUCGGCUGAGCCGAGUGUAACACCCCAAAAUUUGCCCUCCUCAUUCAUGCAUUCAUU
Molecule: long non-coding RNA, 258 nt
Filed under: Lathyrus oleraceus (garden pea)
Lineage: Eukaryota; Viridiplantae; Streptophyta; Magnoliopsida; Fabales; Fabaceae
Description: Pisum sativum (pea) long non-coding RNA (PSAT_LNC042293)
Source: RNAcentral